AGAGAGAGACAUGCGCGCAUAUCAAUAAGCGGAGGAAAAGAAACUAACAAGGAUUCCCUUAGUAACGGCGAGUGAAGCGGGAAGAGCUCAAAUUUGAAAUCUUCAAGGUUUUACCUUGACGAAUUGUAGUUUAAAGAAGUGUUUUCUGCUGAAGUUUUGGUAAAAGUUCUUUGGAAUAGGACAUCAUAGAGGGUGAGAAUCCCGUAUUUGACCAUUAUUUUCAGCUUUGUGAUACACUUUCAAAGAGUCGGAUUGUUUGGGAAUGCAGUCCAAAAUGGGUGGUAAAUUUCAUCUAAAGCUAAAUAUUGGCGAGAGACCGAUAGCGAACAAGUACCGUGAGGGAAAGAUGAAAAGAACUUUGAAAAGAGAGUUAAACAGUACGUGAAAUUGUCAAAAGGGAAGCGUUUGACACCAGUGUUGUUUUCUCGAAAAUCAAUUAAAAAUGGCUCGAUUUUGUAUUGUUGAGACCUUAAAAGCUCACUGUACAUUUUUCGUGUCUUUUUUAAUGCACCUUUUCGUUUAACAAGUCAACAUCAGUUUCUUUUGUUGUAAAAGGGUCAUUGGAAGGUGGCUUUCUUUUCGGAGAAAGUGUUUAUAGCCUUUGGCCUCUGCAAUCGGAGAGAUUGAGGUCUGCAGCGUAGACUCUUCGGGGUUAGAUACAUUUGUGCUAAGUUAUAGCUUUUUAUAGACAACUUGUUGACUAUAAUUAGUCUUGUAGCUUACUCGCUUAUGCUAUUUUACCUACGCUUAGGAUGUUGAAGUCAUCGUAUCGCGC
This 775-nucleotide ribosomal RNA is filed under the name uncultured Neocallimastigales. Its description in RNAcentral is "partial large subunit ribosomal RNA". It matches the Rfam family "Eukaryotic large subunit ribosomal RNA", at positions 23 to 645 of the family's 3401-position model. Lineage: Eukaryota; Fungi; Neocallimastigomycota; Neocallimastigomycetes; Neocallimastigales. The record is from RNAcentral.